RNAcentral lists this ribosomal RNA (496 nucleotides) under uncultured bacterium. RNAcentral describes it as "partial 16S ribosomal RNA". It matches the Rfam family "Bacterial small subunit ribosomal RNA", at positions 29 to 507 of the family's 1533-position model. The record is from RNAcentral.
AUGAACGCUGGCGGCGUGCCUAAUACAUGCAAGUCGAGCGAACGGACGAGAAGCUUGCUUCUCUGAUGUUAGCGGCGGACGGGUGAGUAACACGUGGAUAACCUACCUAUAAGACUGGGAUAACUUCGGGAAACCGGAGCUAAUACCGGAUAAUAUUUUGAACCGCAUGGUUCAAAAGUGAAAGACGGUCUUGCUGUCACUUAUAGAUGGAUCCGCGCUGCAUUAGCUAGUUGGUAAGGUAACGGCUUACCAAGGCAACGAUGCAUAGACGACCUGAGAGGGUGAUCGGCCACACUGGAACUGAGACACGGUCCAGACUCCUACGGGAGGCAGCAGUAGGGAAUCUUCCGCAAAGGGCGAAAGCCUGACGGAGCAACGCCGCGUGAGUGAUGAAGGUCUUCGGAUCGUAAAACUCUGUUAUUAGGGAAGAACAUAUGUGUAAGUAACUGUGCACAUCUUGACGGUACCUAAUCAGAAAGCCACGGCUAACUACGUG